Molecule: long non-coding RNA, 1461 nt
Filed under: Taeniopygia guttata (zebra finch)
Lineage: Eukaryota; Metazoa; Chordata; Aves; Passeriformes; Estrildidae
Description: lncRNA (ENSTGUG00000026795.1)
Source: RNAcentral
AGAGACCAGUGACUAUAAAAAAAGUUACUUGAUUAGAAAGAGAGUUGUGUUUUCAGGAAUGAACAAGAUGUAUCUGGCAGAGCAGAAAAAAAAUCCACAGGAAAGCAUUUGAGACACCUUAGACAUAUUUGACCUAUGCCUAAGGAAUAUUCUGGAACUUUAAGGAAACUGUGUUUCUUGUACUGGCUAAGACACUCAAUAAGCAAGUUAGAAAGCCUUGACAAGCCCUUACAUUAUAUGCUUCAGUAAGACUAAGUUUCUGAAAAAGAAAAAUAAAAAGAAAAAUGAAAGAAGAAAAUAAAAACAAAGGAGAAAAGAGAACAAUUUAAAGGUAUUUCCUCUGUUCUAGGUGAAAUAAAAGGACCCCUCAAAAUGACAGCCUGAAAAUGAAAGUGGUGACUAGAAUUUCCUGGCUGGAUCUGGAUCAUGGAGUGUUCACCAACCUUCUCAGGUCUUCCAUGUGAGAUAUGAGACAACCAAAACACCUUGCCCACGAGAAACCUUACCCUCUGCUUUCUACUUGCUCAGGCAUCUUCAGGAGAGCUCUGUAUGCCUUGGCAAAAACACUGUCUGAGAGGCAUCAAGAAGAGGCAUCAGACAGCUGCUGGAUCCCCUAGGCGCUGCCUGGGCCCACCUGCAGAAGAGUCAGAGGGGAUUUACUGGCAACAAGACCGUAACCAGACUCAGGUUGGCAGAGGUGCCUUUGACUGGGAGGGACUUGAUUUGUGGUACCUGUUUUUCUGGUGAACAGAAAUUCCCUGCGACUGUCAGGCAGUUGGACAGUUAAGGAACAUGCAGUAAAAUCAGCAGGAGGUAAGCCUAAACCACACGAAAUACAGUCCUUCCUUACCAGUACACCCAACAAUUAGUAAUUUCUAUAAUAUGCUGCCACAGGGGUCUGGGAUAGAUGGCAUCAGUAUGGUGGGAAAUGUUUUAGAUGGAUAGAUUGACUGCAGUUUUAUGACAGAAUAUAGACAGGAUGGCUCAAAGAUAUCUUUACCAACAUAUCUCCUAUCAGAGUCACAGAAGAAGAGAAGGAGGGCUAAGGCUUAUACAUGUACCUCAUAAAAUUCUCCUGUCACUGUGGCAGGACAGAGACUUCAGGGCAGGAUCUGCCAACCUGACCCCACCUAGUUCCACACCUUAUGCAUCCUCAUGUCUCUGUGCACCUGGGUCUCAGAUGGGCUGCUGGAAGUAUUUUUUCUUUGGUUUUAAGACAAUAGCUUCUAUGUACCUCACAUGCAUACUUUUAAUCCUCUUAAGGCACAAUAACAUAUUAGGCAUUGAUUUACAAGCAGAGAAUUGAGCAGAUGAGAGUGAAUCUCUCACCCGAGGACAAGCAAGCACUCUACAGUUUUGUUUAGAAUUGAACAUUGGUGUCAUUACUUAAGUCCCCCAUUUUUCAGACAAUUUCAACUGAAAGGAUAUUCUCAAACUAGGCUGGAUGCAGUGUGUAAGGUA